GAUGAACGCUGGCGGCGUGCUUAACAAAUGCAAGUCGAACGGAAAGGCCCAAGCUUGCUUGGGUCCUCGAGUGGCGAACGGGUGAGUAACACGUGGGUGAUCUGCCCUGCACUUCGGGAUAAGCCUGGGAAACUGGGUCUAAUACCGGAUAGGACCACUUCUUGGAUGUUGUGGUGGAAAGUUUUUUCGGUCAGGGCUGAGCCCGCGGCCUAUGAGCUUGUUGGUGGGGUAAUGGCCUACCAAAGCGUCGACGGGAAGCCGGCCUGGGGAGGUGUACGACGAUAUUGGUCAUGGGAAACCGGCCGGGCAGCCAGAACCGGCAGAGGUGCGGAGUGAUGCACAAUGGGCACAAACCUAAUGUCGCGAUGCCAAGUGAGGUAUGACGCCCCUGGGGUUGCAAGCUCCUUUGGCUAGACACAAGGCGCUUUGUGAAGGUACCUGAGGAAGAAGCCCCGGCUAACUACGUG
This 467-nucleotide ribosomal RNA is filed under the name uncultured bacterium. Its description in RNAcentral is "partial 16S ribosomal RNA". It matches the Rfam family "Bacterial small subunit ribosomal RNA", at positions 28 to 507 of the family's 1533-position model. The record is from RNAcentral.